GAAUUUUGGUGGAUUUGAUCUCUAAAGAGAAAUAUAAUAGAUAAAGAUUCAGUUACUUGCAAUCAUGUGCUAAAUUCACUUGCUAUACUUGGAAUUUAAACAAAGAAUUUCAUUAUUUAAAUUGAAUCUUUAAAUAGGCUAUUGUGUACAAAACAAGUAUCAAAUAUCAGGAUGAGACUGGUUCUUGCCUGUAGGACUGUACAGGGGUGGACCUUUGUUAAUAAUUUGUGCCGUUUUGCUAUAUUCCCAACUGCCAUUACAUUAGUUUAGUCUUCAUUGUUUUUGAUUUGACAUAUAGUUCUGGUUAUCUAUUGCUAUAUAAUAAACCCUUCAAAUUAGUGUCUUAAAACAGUAUCUCUUUUGCUCACAUAUCUGGAGUUAUGGGUCUCAGUCAUGCAAUUCUCUUGGGUUCUUUAGUUAGAUAAAAACGGGAUAGGGUUUCUUUGAAGGCUUUUUCACUAGCACUUCUGGUAACUGGCCUAGGAAGAUUAAACAGAAGGAGCUGCUUGAUCACCUCUCUCUAUAUAUGUUCUUACCAUAGGGCCUUUCACAUAGUGGCCCUACACUAGCCAUUUUUCUUUCAUGGCAGCUACCACCUUUGUGAAUAAAUUUCCCAAGAAAUAGCACAUGGCCCUGUGUAACCUGAUCUUUUUAGCUACUACUAUGGUUUGGAUAUUGAAUAUCCCCCCAAAUCCCUGUGUUAAAGACUUAGAUACCAGCCUGUGGCACUGGUAACUAAGGUAGUGAAACUUUUAGAGGUGAGGCUUAGUGGAAGGUCUUCAGUUACUGGAGACAAGCCCUGGAAGCAAACUGCAAGACUUUAGUCUCUUGCACUCUCUCUUUGCUUUCUAGCCACUAUGAUAUGAGCAUCCUGAUGUUGUCGCUCACCAUCUGGCCAUGGACUAAAACCUCUAAAACCAUAAGUCAAAAUAAACCUUUCCUCUUUACAGUUUUUUAUCUCAGAUAUUUUGUUAUAGUAAUGGGAAGAUGACUAAUGUAAUUCCUUAGUGACACUUUUGCCUUAUUUUAUUCCAAGAGGUAAUGACAUAGUUUGGCCCAUAUUCAAAGGAAGGGACUAUAGACUCUACCUCUAGAUAGGGAAAUGUUAAAGAAUCCGUGUACAUGCUUUAAAACCAGCAUUUUAACAAGAAUUUGUUUCUAAUUCGUUGAUUAGAAAUGAUGUCCUCAUCACUUCUAGACAAGAAAGAGAUUAUUAAUGCCAAUAAAUGAAAUAAAGCCAUAUUUC
Molecule: long non-coding RNA, 1246 nt
Filed under: Marmota monax (woodchuck)
Lineage: Eukaryota; Metazoa; Chordata; Mammalia; Rodentia; Sciuridae
Source: RNAcentral